This 1375-nucleotide long non-coding RNA is filed under the name Homo sapiens (human). Its description in RNAcentral is "HSALNT0379513". The record is from RNAcentral. Lineage: Eukaryota; Metazoa; Chordata; Mammalia; Primates; Hominidae.
GCCACUGCACUCCAGCCUGUGUGACAGUGAGGCCCUGUCUCAAAAAAAAAAAAAAGGCAACACUUCUUGAGGCUGCUGGUUUUUCAGCCCUGCUGUGCUGCAUGCUUUUGGCGCUCACUCUAAUUCACAGGGCCUCGAGGGCGAGACUUCGGCUCACAGCUGUAUCCCAGGGCCUAGAACUGUGUCUGACAUAUACCAGUUUUUCUUCCCAGGGUCUCCCCAAGAGCUGCUUCCUUUGACUCCUGCUGUGUGUAGUUCUGCUGACAAUGACCUGGACAGCUCUGCGCCAUGCACAGCGUCUCUUUUCUCCGACUUACCAAAUUUUAGACACUACUGACUCCUCCAUGUGAAAGAUGGGAAUUCAGCUACAUCACAUUACCCUACAAACUUUAUUGUUAAUAUUUCUUCCCGGUCAGCCCCAAACACUGAAUGUAAAUACGGUCCAACAUCAACCUGCAAACGAACACUGACAUGAAAGUGCAGUUGGAAAGGAUCUCGCAAAGGAACAGAAUCUGGUGAUCCUAAUCGUAAUGAACGUGAUCGCCGGGUAUUGAGAGCUUGCAGGUACCAGGGCUCCGGCACUACGUGUUUCACAGGGGCCACUCGGUAGACCUCUUGGUGACCUUGAGGUCAGGUACCACGUUCCCAUUUUACAGAGGAGGAAACUGAGAUAACCUACGACAGCGAAAAGGUAGCAGAGCUGGGACUGGUGCCCAGGCUCGCCGAGUGGAAAAGCCCUCGGCCACCGUGGAGAGCUCGCUUCCUGUGGUCUGAAGCGUCGCCCCUGCACCGGCUUCUGCUGCCAAGGAUGGCUUUUCCUCACUGGUGCCCACCUACGCUCACUUGUGUCAUGUGGUUAAGCCCUUUUGGCAACAUAAGACCUUUCCCAAGAAUGUGCCUCGGUGCAGAGGAAGACGGUGGGGGCAGGCCCCCUCCCCGGGAUGCUCCACCCUCCCUGACCUCACACGGGUGCAACCUGGGCCGUGGCCGAGACCUGCUGUGUGGCAGACAAUGGGAAGCCUGUGUGUCGUCCUGGGUGCCGGAUUUAGACAAUAUUUAGCUUUCCCUUGGUGGAAAAGCCUUUCCCCUCCUGCUUUGGGCAGGAACUGGUUCCUGUUGGGCGGGGCCUGGCUGCUGCCCCACCCCCACCCGGCCGGGCACCUUGACCGGCAGCUCUCCGGGCUGCUCCCUGCCUGUGUCCCUGAGCACUGACUCCAGAGGUUUAAUCAUUAACGGGCACGUUUGGCCUUCGGUCGUGGGCUGGAAUUUGGGACCUGUGCCCGGGAACAAUGAUCUCCGACACAUUAUUUUGUGUAAAAUCACUUUUAGCUGCCAUUAGCUAAUAAAGCUGGAAUAAAGUGAGGUCCAUUAACCA